GAAGCAUUUUUGUGUGGAUGUAAUUGUCUCGCUCACUGCAUCUGCAUGCAUCAGUCUGUGAAAACACUUUUGGUUGUAGCCCAAAAAAAUUCGAAAAAUUCUUUAAGAUGGCUAUCUUAUUAUUGACAGAGUUAGCUAGUUAUAUAUAUAAUAUUUUUUGGUUAAAUCUUAUUGGGACUCUUAAUUGAUGUGUUUCGAUCCCUUGAAAGGAAAUUAGAAGCACUUUUGUUUGGAUGCAAUUAUCUUGUACUUUUGUGCUCACUGCAUGCAUUAUUCUGUAAAAAU
Molecule: unclassified non-coding RNA, 285 nt
Filed under: Hevea brasiliensis (rubber tree)
Lineage: Eukaryota; Viridiplantae; Streptophyta; Magnoliopsida; Malpighiales; Euphorbiaceae
Source: RNAcentral